UACGUAGGGUGCAAGCGUUGUCCGGAAUUAUUGGGCGUAAAGAGCUCGUAGGCGGCUUGUCGCGUCGGCUGUGAAAACUCGGGGCUCAACCCCGAGCCUGCAGUCGAUACGGGCAGGCUAGAGUCCGGCAGGGGAGACUGGAAUUCCUGGUGUAGCGGUGAAAUGCGCAGAUAUCAGGAGGAACACCGGUGGCGAAGGCGGGUCUCUGGGCAACAACUGACGCUGAGGAGCGAAAGCGUGGGGAGCGAACAGG
This 253-nucleotide ribosomal RNA is filed under the name uncultured bacterium. Its description in RNAcentral is "partial 16S ribosomal RNA". It matches the Rfam family "Bacterial small subunit ribosomal RNA", at positions 524 to 776 of the family's 1533-position model. The record is from RNAcentral.